AACGAUGAAGCCAGCUUGCUGGUGGAUUAGUGGCGAACGGGUGAGUAACACGUGGGUGAUCUGCCCCAAACUUUGGGAUAAGCCUGGGAAACUGGGUCUAAUACCGAAUAUUACCUUCUCCUGCAUGGGGGUUGGUGGAAAGCUCCGGCGGUUUGGGAUGGGCCCGCGGCCUAUCAGCUUGUUGGUGGGGUAAUGGCCUACCAAGGCGACGACGGGUAGCCGGCCUGAGAGGGCGACCGGCCACACUGGGACUGAGACACGGCCCAGACUCCUACGGGAGGCAGCAGUGGGGAAUAUUGCACAAUGGGCGCAAGCCUGAUGCAGCGACGCCGCGUGAGGGAUGACGGCCUUCGGGUUGUAAACCUCUUUCACCAGGGACGAAGCGUGAGUGACGGUACCUGGAGAAGAAGCACCGGCCAACUACGUGCCAGCAGCCGCGGUAAUACGUAGGGUGCGAGCGUUGUCCGGAAUUACUGGGCGUAAAGAGUUCGUAGGCGGUUUGUCGCGUCGUUCGUGAAAACUUGGGGCUUAACUCCAAGCGUGCGGGCGAUACGGGCAGACUUGAGUACUACAGGGGAGACUGGAAUUCCUGGUGUAGCGGUGAAAUGCGCAGAUAUCAGGAGGAACACCGGUGGCGAAGGCGGGUCUCUGGGUAGUAACUGACGCUGAGGAACGAAAGCGUGGGUAGCGAACAGGAUUAGAUACCCUGGUAGUCCACGCUGUAAACGGUGGGUACUAGGUGUGGGUUC
Molecule: ribosomal RNA, 749 nt
Filed under: Williamsia sp.
Lineage: Bacteria; Bacillati; Actinomycetota; Actinomycetes; Mycobacteriales; Nocardiaceae
Description: bacterial SSU rRNA
Rfam family: Bacterial small subunit ribosomal RNA
Source: RNAcentral